Molecule: ribosomal RNA, 398 nt
Filed under: bacterium enrichment culture clone ALO1_GLFRUDD03HCR4Q
Lineage: Bacteria
Description: bacterial SSU rRNA
Rfam family: Bacterial small subunit ribosomal RNA
Source: RNAcentral
GAGUUUGAUCCUGGCUCAGAUUGAACGCUGGCGGCAUGCCUUACACAUGCAAGUCGAACGGCAGCACGGGAGCUUGCUCCUGGUGGCGAGUGGCGAACGGGUGAGUAAUGCAUCGGAACGUAUCCUGGAGUGGGGGAUAACGUAGCGAAAGUUACGCUAAUACCGCAUAUUCUGUGAGCAGGAAAGCGGGGGACCUUCGGGCCUCGCGCUCUUGGAGCGGCCGAUGUCGGAUUAGCUAGUUGGUGAGGUAAAGGCUCACCAAGGCGACGAUCCGUAGCAGGUCUGAGAGGAUGAUCUGCCACACUGGAACUGAGACACGGUCCAGACUCCUACGGGAGGCAGCAGUGGGGAAUUUUGGACAAUGGGUGCAACCCUGAUCCAGCCAUGCCGCGUGAGUG